CCCGAGUAGCUUGGGACACGUGAAAUCCCUUGUGAAUCAGCGAGGACCACCUCGUAAGGCUAAAUACUCUUGAGUCACUGAUAGUGAAAAGUACCGUGAGGGAAAGGUGAAAAAGAACCCCUAUUGGGGAGUGAAAGAGAUCAUGAAAUCUGGAGCAUUCAAUCUGUAGGAGGGCCGAAGGGCCUGACUGCGUGCCUGUUGAAGAAUGAGCCGGCGACUCAUAAUUUUUGGCUUGGUUAAAAAAAGAAUUUUGGAGCCAGAGUGAAAACAAGUUUAAAAAAGCGAAUAGUCAAAAGUUAUGGACCCGAACCCGAGUGAUCUAACCAUGACCAGGAAGAAGCUGAGAUAAAACUUAGUGGAUGUCCGAACCGACCGAUGUUGAAAAAUCGCCGGAUGAGUUGUGGUUAGCGGUGAAAUGCCAAUCGAACUCGGAGCUAGCUGGUUCUCCCCGAAAUGCGUUGUGGCGCAGCAAAAAAUUAUUAAGGGGUAGAGCACUGUUUCAGUACGGGCCAGUCAAAUGGUACCAAACUGUCGCAAACUCCGAAUACUUAAUAUAAGCAAAAAAGUGAGACAUUGGGGGAUAAGCUCCAAUGUCGAGAGGGAAACAGCCCAGAUCAACAGCUAAGGCCCCUAAAUAAUAACUAAGUGUUAAAGGAAGUAUCAACGCUGAAACAGCCAGAAGGUUCGCUUAGAAGCAGCUAUCCUUGAAAGAAUGCGUAAUAGCUCACUGGUCAAGUAAAGCGUCGAUGCGCCGAAAAUGUCCGGGACUAAGUUAUUUGCCGAAGCUUUGGGUUCGCAAAAGCGAACGGUAGGGGAGCGUUCUGUUUAAGGUGAAGACUCAUUGAAAAAGAGGUUGGAUUAAACAGAAGUGAGAAUGUUGGCUUGAGUAACGCAAACAUUGGUGAGAAUCCAAUGCCCCGUAAACCUAAGGUUUCCUUUGUAAGGUUCGUCCGCGAAGGGUUAGUCAGGACCUAAGAUAAGACUGAAAAGUGUAAUCGAUGGACAACAGAUGAAUAUUUCUGUACUUAUUUUAAUUGAGUGACAAAGGACAAAAGAGGUAAUUUUUAACUGGUUGUACAAUGGUAACAAUGGAAGUGUUCAACAGAAAAUAAAAGCAGAAAAACUUUUAUUCAAUGGAGACAUGAUCCGCUGCUCCGCUUUUGGCGAAGUCAGUCGACUUAAAAUUAUCAUAUUUUCAAGAAAAGUUUGAGACACUUAUCAAUUAAAGUAACCUGUACCGCAAACCAACACAGGUAGGUAAGUUGAGUAUACUCAGGGGCGCGAGAGAACUCUCUCUAAGGAACUCGGCAAAAUGGCCCCGUAACUUCGGGAGAAGGGGUGCCUCAAUCGAGGUCGCAGUGAAAUGACUCAUUGAACUGUUUAUUAAAAACACAGGUCUCCGCUAAGUCGCAAGACAAUGUAUGGGGGCUGACGCCUGCCCAGUGCCGGAAGGUUAAGGAAAUUGGUUAAAUGCUAAUAACUGAAGCCCCGGUGAACGGCGGCCGUAACUCUGACGGUCCUAAGGUAGCGAAAUUCCUUGUCACGUAAGUUGUGACCCGCACGAAAGGCGUAAUCAAAUGAGUACUGUCUCGGAGAGAGACUCGGUGAAAUAGACAUAUCCGUGAAGAUGCGGAUUACUAAUCGUUAGACACGAAGACCCCGUGCAGCUUGACUGUAUCUUGAUAUUGGUUUCCAGUUAUUUUUGUGCAGUCUAGGUGGGAGUGCAUUUUGUGUACAACAUUGAGAGACCACUCUGAAAUAAUUAGAAUUCUAAAAGUGAUUCCUUGAAACAGGACACUUGACAGUGUCAGGUGGGCAGUUUUUUUGGGGCGAAAUUCUCCUAAAAAGUAACGGAGAUUUGCAAAGGUUCCCUCAAACUGGACGGAAAUCAGUUGUUGAGUAUAAAGGCAAAAGGGAGCUUGACUGUAAGACCUAUAAGUCGAACAGAGGCGAAAGCCGGCCUUAGUGAUCCGACGGUUCCAUGUGGAAGGGCCGUCGCGCAAAAGAUAAAAGUUACGCCGGGGAUAACAGGCUUAUCUUCCCCAAGAGUUCAUAUCGACGGGAAGGUUUGGCACCUCGAUGUCGACCUUUCGCAACCUGGGGCGGUAGUACGUCCCAAGGGUUGGGCUGUUCGCCCAUUAAAGCGGAACACGAGUUGGGUUUAGAACGUCGUGAAUGUCUCGCGACCUUGUAAAGUAAUUUGCAAGUAUAUCUGCGAUUAGCGAUAGAAUAUUGAGAGGAAUUUUCCAUAAUACGAGAGGACUUGGAAGAACAUACCUCUGGUGUACCAGUUCUUAUACCAAUAGGAUAUGCUGGGUAGCUACGUAUGGAGUAGAGUACCGCUGAAAGCAUCUAAGUGGGAAACUCACCUCAAGAUGA
Molecule: ribosomal RNA, 2379 nt
Filed under: Halimeda borneensis
Lineage: Eukaryota; Viridiplantae; Chlorophyta; Ulvophyceae; Bryopsidales; Halimedaceae
Description: 23S ribosomal RNA
Rfam family: Bacterial large subunit ribosomal RNA
Source: RNAcentral